Molecule: ribosomal RNA, 329 nt
Filed under: uncultured bacterium
Lineage: Bacteria
Description: bacterial SSU rRNA
Rfam family: Bacterial small subunit ribosomal RNA
Source: RNAcentral
AAUCAACGCUGGCGGCGUGCCUAACACAUGCAAGUCGAACGAGAAAGUGGAGCAAUCCAUGAGUAAAGUGGCGACCGGGUGAGUAACACGUGACUAACCUACCUUCAAGUGGGGGAUAACCUCGGGAAACCGGGGCUAAUACCGCAUAACAUCCUUAGAGUGGAAAUUCCGGGGAUCAAAGGAGCAAUUCGCUGGAAGAGGGGGUCGCGGCUGAUUAGUUAGUUGGCGGGGUAAUGGCCCACCAAGACAGAGAUCGGUAGCCGGCCUGAGAGGGCGCACGGCCACACUGGAACUGAAACACGGUCCAGACUCCUACGGGAGGCAGCAGU